This 549-nucleotide ribosomal RNA is filed under the name uncultured bacterium. RNAcentral's name for it is "partial 16S ribosomal RNA". It matches the Rfam family "Bacterial small subunit ribosomal RNA", at positions 30 to 530 of the family's 1533-position model. The record is from RNAcentral.
UUCCCNGACGCNGGCGGCGUNCCUAACACAUGCANGUCGAACGAGAAAGCCGAAAGCUUGCUUUUGGCGAGUAAAGUGGCGCACGGGUGAGUAACGCGUGGGUAAUCUGCCUUUGAAUUCGGGAUAACACUUCGAAAGGGGUGCUAAUACCGGACAACAUCUGUUUAAUUUCGGUUAAACAGAUCAAAGAUAGCCUCUACAUGUAAGCUAUUGUUUGAAGAUGAGCCCGCGUACCAUUAGCUUGUUGGUGGGGUAACGGCCUACCAGGGCAACGAUGGUUAGCUGGUCUGAGAGGAUGAUCAGCCACACUGGAACUGGAACACGGUCCAGACUCCUACGGGAGGCAGCAGUGAGGAAUUUUGCGCAAUGGGGGAAACCCUGACGCANCAACGCCGCGUGAGUGAUGAAGGUUUUCGGAUCGUAAACUCUGUCAAGUGGGAANAANUUAUCAUAUAUAAUANUUAUGGAUUGACGGUCCCUNAAGAACACCGCUACUCCNNCCACACCGNGNAUACGAGGUCAACCUUUUCNAUUCUGGCUAAGGCCUAC